CGGGUAAGUUCCGACCUGCACGAAUGGCGUAACGAUGGCCACACUGUCUCCUCCAGAGACUCAGCGAAGUUGAAAUGUUUGUGAUGAUGCAAUCUCCCCGCGGAAAGACGGAAAGACCCCAUGAACCUUUACUGUAGCUUUACAUUGGACUUUGACAAGAUUUGUGUAGGAUAGGUGGGAGACUAUGAAGCGGUGUCGCUAGAUAUCGUGGAGUCAACCUUGAAAUACCACCCUGAUGUUGUUGAGGUUCUAACCUAGGUCCAUAAUCUGGAUCGGGGACCGUGUAUGGUGGGCAGUUUGACUGGGGCGGUCUCCUCCCAAAGAGUAACGGAGGAGUGCGAAGGUAACCUAGGUACGGUCGGAAAUCGUACUGAUAGUGCAAUGGCAUAAGGUUGCUUGACUGCGAGACGGACAGGUCGAGCAGGUGCGAAAGCAGGUCAUAGUGAUCCGGUGGUUCUGUAUGGAAGGGCCAUCGCUCAACGGAGAAAAGGUACUCUGGGGAUAACAGGCUGAUUCCUCCCAAGAGUUCAAAUCGACGGGGGAGUUAGGCACCUCGAAGACGGCUCAUCACAUCCAGUGGCUGUAGCCGGUCCCAAGGGUAUGGCUGUUCGCCAUUUAAAGUGGUACGUGAGCUGGGUUUAAAACGUCGUGAGACAGUUUGGUCCCUAUCUGCCGUGGGCGUUGGAAAUUUGAAGGGACCUGCUCCUAGUACGAGAGGACCGGAGUGGACGGAUCUCUGGUGGACCGGUUAUCACGCCAGUGGUAUAGCCGGGUAGCUAAAUUCGGAAGAGAUAAACGCUGAAAGCAUCUAAGCGUGAAACUCGCCUUGAGAUGAGAUUUCCCUGGGGGUUUAACCCCCCUAAAGAGUCGUUCGAGACCAGGACGUUGAUAGGACGGAUGUGGAAGUGCAGUAAUGCAUUAAGCUGACCGUUACUAAUUGCUCGUGAGGCUUGAUCCU
RNAcentral lists this ribosomal RNA (958 nucleotides) under Methylotenera sp. RNAcentral describes it as "partial 23S ribosomal RNA". It matches the Rfam family "Bacterial large subunit ribosomal RNA", at positions 1973 to 2925 of the family's 2925-position model. The record is from RNAcentral. Lineage: Bacteria; Pseudomonadati; Pseudomonadota; Betaproteobacteria; Nitrosomonadales; Methylophilaceae.